Molecule: long non-coding RNA, 6334 nt
Organism: Phycodurus eques (leafy seadragon)
Lineage: Eukaryota; Metazoa; Chordata; Actinopteri; Syngnathiformes; Syngnathidae
Exons: 3
Source: RefSeq, a predicted model, not a curated record
CACUACCUCAGCGUCGUUGUUUGAUAGGCUCUCAUCGAAGCCCCCCGGAAAGAAAUGAAAUCGAGGUCAUUAUUCCUGAAAGUCCAGAAUAAGGUUCAUGGUGAAUCUGAAAGACUGCGAGUUGAUCUCCAAACAGUGAGUGGAAGCAGUGCAGUGCAGUUCUUGGCAAAGCGUCAUUGUGGCCGAACGACGACUGGCGUCAAGCUGCCCUUGACCCUCCUGGCCGCCUGCAAAUGGAUGGCAGGGUGAAACGAAACGUGUUUGGAUCUUUCGGUACGGCCCGCAGGGACAGUGGGAAUUGUCCAUUACGGAUUUUCAGGUACUUUCCUUGAGAAUAUAUUUUUCUGUCAACUUUAGACUUUGACUCCCUCCUAAAAUCAUAUCUGUACUUUAUACUGCUUGUUUUUUUAACGAGGUGUUAAAAAGACAAAUAAAGGGAAGUGAAGUCCUAUUGGGGUCUUAUUCGAAGGAUAAAGACAGGAGCAGCGGCGACACAGCGGAACGAGAACCAGGGAGCAAGAUCGUUUCCGUCGGUGGCCUUACUGUCGGCUCUUGAGCCAGGCUAAAAUCCACCGGCUUCUCCGUCUCAGGCCCGGUACACGUAAAGAUACUCAGGUUGUUUUUGUCACGAUUUUGCCCCUUCCCGACAAAGGACAACAAACACUAGAUUAUGUUAUGAUUUUAUAAGAUUAUCUGAUAAAAGGAUCUUGUGGUCCAAGGUGUGUUGAGAAUGAAUUUGUCCCGAUAACGGUGUCCGAAACAGAUCGAGGCGACAGCGUUAAAUAUUAAACAUGUCCACUAUUUACGACGACUCGUGAGUCCUAACAAGUUAGCCCUGACUCCCGACUACCGACUUCGUGCAUCGAGACGUGAAACGGAAAGUAGCCAAUCAAGGCGCGACCUGAUUGAGGAGCAAAGAAGCGGCCAAAACGACAACAAACUAGCACAAAACAGCAGCCGUUAGCAUCAUUUGGGCGCUCACCUCUAGCUUGCUCGAUGGAUUACAAAGUCCAUGUUUUUUUCCACAUUUUUUAAAAUUCUUUAAUUAUUUCGAGAUUUUUCGGUAAAAAAAAUAAUCCCAAAACUAACAUCAUUCCCUGCUCUCGCGUGUCUUCUUCCAUGUUGUGACUUGUAUGUUUCUUCUUCUUCAUUUUUGUUAGCCCACGUUUGGUCACGGGUGAUUGUCUUGGAAGAUCGGAUUCUAGUUCGGUGGUGGAACAAAAACUUUCUGGGCGCGGUGUGCUGCGUUGACGUUUUCGCUCGUCAUGUCAAACUCCCCCCCGGCCCCACCCGUUGAAUCCGUCUGGCUGUCAGCUCAACACAGAACCCGACCCAUUCCGCUCGCCGCUGACCUGUCCGUGACCCAACUCUGCACUCUGCCUUCCCUCCUCGCUCGCUGGGGGGUUAGAGAGUAGAUCAAACGCUAACACAACUACUGUGACUGCGGCAAAGGGUUUGAUUGCGUCGUGGUGUGUGUGCGCGCGUGGUGACUUUUUGACACAAUUGUGGAAGCCAGAGAACGCCGGUGGGCCAAAGGGCGACGGCGUACUUAGCCUGACUUCGACCACUUUGCGACGGCCACCGUUCAGACUAAAGGCCGGUCCAUUAGGGACGGCGUGUUGGCCCGGGGCGGGGGCAAGUUGUGCACCAGGCGGGCGAAAAGCCAACGAUUUGUGGAUCAUUGCUUUACACAGCGGCGUGUUCAUUGUGUUCAUUUGGUCCGCAGCGGUCAUUUUAGCGUCAAUUUGCCCAUGUUCAGGGGACCGUCGAAGGAUAUCAAUGAAAACAAAUUCUGCCCCUGAACUCACUUUUAUUUAGUAACAUGAAAUUGGGUCUGCAUAUAUAUCAGGAUUGGACCCAUAAAAAGGCCUCAAGAAGCCUUGCCUGAAAACACACAGGAAGUGUAGUAUAUGUUUUAUGCUGGAAUUGUUCAUUUCCAGGAGUGCUUCAUAGGAUAGCAGCAAAGUUGUUGUUUAAAAAAUAAAUAAAUAAAUAAAUUUAAUUCAGCCCCCGAAGCUGGUUUCCCUUGGCAACAUGAAGUGUGAUCGUCAUGACGUGUCAUGAGUAGACUCCCAAAAAGUCUCCAGAAGCCAUGUCCAAAAAGAGAGAGAAAAAAGUUCACUUUCUGUUUGCAGCAGCCAUUUUCUUGUCACUUCCGCCAUUUCCAGGAGUCCUUCAAAACAUAGCAAUCGAGUUUUUUUUGUGUGAAAAUUCUGCCUCCCUUAGCAACAUGAUAUUUGAUAUGGAUGUCUCAUGAGGAGACUUGCAAAAAUGCCUGAAAAGACACAGGAAGUCUGCCAAUUUGGUUGGAUGUGGACAUUUUUGGGUCAUUUUGUCCAUUUCCAGGGGUGCUUCAAAAGAUAGGAAUGCAGUUUUAGUCCUCUAAUCCUAAUUUAGAGUUGCAUGCCACCUUGUGCCACAAUGUGCCAGGCAUCAUAUAAAAUGAUACGAUAACGGCAUAUUUGUAAAAUAUGUAAUUGCAUGCGGCAAUUAACAAGCGCCUGUCUGCUUCGGAGAGGCCAUUUUGUGUGUGAAGACGUUAAAUUACAUAAAGCAACAACAACAGACGGCUCACAUUGUUCGUGUGCAGCAAGUGGAAUUGACCACACACACCGUACUGUACUGUACACGCUCACAAACACACACGCACGCACACACAAUCAUCAUCAUCAUCAGCGCCAAUUAGCGCAGCUGUGACCUCACACGUCCGGGUCAGCGCUUCGCAGCACAACGGAACAAAAGGAAAAGUUGUCCCGGAAUGCGUGCUCCCAAUUAGCGAGGGCGCUGCGCGGCGCGGCGCACAAUGGCGCAGGUGAGAAGUUGGACGGGUCCGGGCGUCGCGCUUUCCACCCGCACAAUGUGAGGACAACGCAUCGCCUGUGACCCUCGCAGGCGAUGCGUUGUGGAAGACCCCGCGCCUUUCAGAGCCUGCCAACGUGACGUAACACCGUGGAAAUUGGGUUCUGGUAGUUUUUUCACAAAUAUCCCUCUUAAUGAAUCUACAGUAUGCGGCACAAGACCAAUCGGAAUUUCCUACACUCAAUUGCUGCUGGAAACGAUCCAGUUUUUCAGAUUUGAUGAUGAAAGAAGACGACGGUGCAAUUAAGCUGCAGUCGUCGUUCUUUGCGAAGGAUAAAGAAUGUAUGCCUGUGAGCUUUGUGAGAGGUUCUGUCAUCAUGUUGCUACUGUUUGUGUUCAAAUAUAAGUUGUUUACAAGUUAAUCAUUAAUGCUGGUUUUGUGAGCCCGUCUAUGGCGUUUUACAUUGUGGGUUAGCAAAGUGAUGUAGUUCGGUUGAAUCCGCAAUGUGAAAUUCUCUGUUUAAUUUGAAAAUAAACUUCGAGCGGGAGCUUGAGCAAGGCACUUGGCUUCUUUUGAAGAGCGGUUGCCACCGUCUAGCCCUCGUGACGCAAAUUUUUGCUUGCAACUCAAGACAAAAAAAAAACGGCUCCUGUCUCAAAAGAUUAAGUAUAUAAGUCGACGUAUAUCAGCUCAGUGCUUAAUUCAACAAUCCCACUUUUCACACCGAGACGGGAUUAUCGUUAUUUCAGUAUUCAUCCUUUUUUUUUUUUUUUUAACACUUUUUUGUUUGGUGUAUGCGGUGAGAUUUUCUCAUGUAAAAUGUGUGCCUCGUCUUAUUAUUAAGAAAAGAAGAAAAUAAUAACAAUAACAACCCAGAACUAACCGGAACCCGAACCCUCAACCAGAACCCAAUUCCUAACACACGAACCCACAACCUCUAAGCUAACACUAACCUCAACCAAAUCCCCAACCUAACCGGUCUCACCUACCCCGAGCCAUAACCUGCUAACCUUACCCUUAACCCCAACCUCCUUGAAAAGAUCAAAAUGAGGCUUAUUUGUUUCCGUUUUGUUGAAUUCAGCCCCUAAAGCCAGUGUCCCUUAACAACAGGAUUCUUCUUCUAUUUCCUGCCUGAAGUUACGUUGCGACAAAUGAGACGGCAACAUGACUCGCUGUUGAUGGCGCACGUGCGCCCAGGUCAAAAAGCGUCACGGGACCCGCGCCCGCCCUGGGGGCACCUUCCAAUCAAACUUCUUUCAGCGGCAAUUACGUCGUCCUAUUUGCACGAUGGUCUAACGACAUCCAGUCUGCACACGCGACGGCCGUACACUUCGUGUCGCAUGCAGCCGAAAAAAAGUGGCACAAAUAAUGACAUUGAGACUCAUCAUGUAGUUGAGCAACGAUACAUAUUUGUAUACAGUGGACAGUAAUAUUUGUAUAUAUUUAUAUUGGUGGUUCACCAACUGGAUUAUUUUUUUCUGUGAAAAACUCGCCCAUUUGCAUUCUGUGUGGUCUAUCUGAAAUGGCACAAGAUGGCACCAAAACCCUGUCUAAAAGGGAAAGUAGUACUGCACCUACCCUUUUUUUUUUUUUUUUUUUAAUCACAUAAUACGUUCCCGACAAACCCACAAUAAGUGAAAGUCCAUAUAAAACCAUACAAACCUUGUAAAAACAUGAGAUUUAUGAUAGCUUUCCCUAUACUACAUGCUUUUUCGUGGCUUAUUGGGAGUAUAUCAAUACUUAUUCAAGAAUUAUUGUGUAAAAAAAAUCAUUUUUUAAAAUGCAAUUAUAAUGGCCAUUAAUUAUUCACAGAUUUGCGCUAGUCACGGGGGGACAGGGAUAGCGGAUAGCGGCGGUACCUUUUCUCACUCUCUCGCUGUCAAGAAAUUUGAGACUUUCAUAUAUAACAUCACUUCGAGGAAAUGAAAAGAAAAAAGACUCUCUUGCUCGCCCAGUUUUCCAAAUAAGCGCUACGAGCCCGUGCUUGUGUCAAGCUGUUGAUUUGUCAUUCCCAGUCGACGUUUUACUGUAAAACCGACACAAGCUGACAAUGAGACUGAAACCAAACAAACCAUAUCGUGGCUCCCUUCAAAUGGCGCGCUGCGGUCCAGGUCCGGACCAAGUGGGAGCCUCAUGCGGUCAUUCGUUGUUCAUCGAAGAUAAAGUAUGUGCCGCCAUUUUGUUCUCACUGUCACAGACUGCAUACGGAUUUGAAUGGAAGAUAACUGCGCCUUCAUUCCGUGCAACCGAAGUCUGCUAGCUUAAUGCUAAACAAUAAUGCGAAAUCCCAUGGACAAGCUAACGGAAAUGAGCAUAGAAGUAGUAAGUAUAAACGUUCAAACAAUUGCUACUUGAACACACGCGCACAGAUUAUUUCUCGAGAUUAUAAAUAUUCACCUGGUGUGUGUGUGGGGGUCUGUAGCAAAUCUCCCGCCAUAAAGUUCGCUGUACUUGUCACUUAAGUGUGUUAUGUGCAUGUUAUUUUUUUUCGCACCCUGCAUGCGCUACAUUAUUGCUCGAUUUUCGAUGCGUUGAUUUGUUUCAUACAACUGGGAUACAUAAACGGGAAUAAAUCAUACUGUAAAUUAUGGGUUGUUGCGUUUUGUUUUGUUUCGUUUUUUUCUUGGAGAAACAGCAACGUCAAGCGUGAGCCGUCGUGGUUGUUAUUUGUCGGCCCGUUAUGACACUUGCCCGCCAAAGCAAAACACUCAAUAAAGCCCGGGGGCCAUGUGAACAUGACUUAGUGGGUCAAACGCAGCCUGCAGACAACACACAUGCAUUCGAGCAUGUGCUAGUGUGUGUGUGUUUGUGUACGUGUGCGUGCGUGCGUGCGUGUGUGUGCAGAAGCAGAAGGCACUAAAAAUAAACCAUCUGAAAUAUUUAACUUAGUGACCCAGAAAGGCGCCCCAGCGUAAUCGCAUGUUUGUACAAGCCGAGCGCGACAGCCAUGAUAUGAUGAGGCCGCUCGCGUCGCUAAUAACGCGUCAAACCAAACAUCCGUUCCACGUAAAAAACAAUCAUCACAAUUAUGUAUGAAGAACCUGAUUUCCGGGAUGCAGGUUUAUGUGUGACAAAAACGUAGCACACCUUGGACUUUUGUUCAGACAGGACUAUACAUGCAAAAUUUAUCAUAUUUUUUUUUCUAUAUUCUAUAAUGAAAUGUACAUUAUAGUUUUAUUUAUUUGUAUGAAACAUUAUUUUUCAUAGGCGGCACGGCGGGCGAUCGGUUAGCACACCUGCCUCCCAGUUCUGAGGACCGGGGUUCAAAUCCCGGCCCCGCCUGUGGGGAGUUUGCAUGUUCUCCCGGUGCCUGGGUGGCUUUUCAUCCCAAAAAUAUGCGUGCUAGGUUGAUCGGCGACUCUAAAUUGCCCGCAGGCGUGAAUGUGAGUACGAAUGGUUGUUUGUAGGUGCCUUGCGACUGGCUGCCGACCAGUUGUGGGUGUACCCCGCCUUCCGCCUGAAGAUAGCUGGGAUAGGCGCCGGCACGCUCGCAACCUGCGUGUGGAGAAGCGCUACAGAAAAUGGAUGGAUGGA